This 411-nucleotide ribosomal RNA is filed under the name uncultured bacterium. Its description in RNAcentral is "bacterial SSU rRNA". It matches the Rfam family "Bacterial small subunit ribosomal RNA", at positions 370 to 772 of the family's 1533-position model. The record is from RNAcentral.
AAUGGGGGAAACCCUGACGCAGCGACGCCGUGUGAGGGAAGAAGGCCUUCGGGUCGUAAACCUCUGUCAGAAGGGAAGAACCGCCUAAGGUCGAACAGGCCUUGGGUCUGACGGUACCUUCAGAGGAAGCACCGGCUAACUCCGUGCCAGCAGCCGCGGUAAUACGGAGGGUGCAAGCGUUAAUCGGAAUCACUGGGCGUAAAGCGCACGUAGGCGGUUUUGUAAGUCGGACGUGAAAUCCCUCGGCUCAACCGAGGAACUGCGUUCGAUACUGCAUAACUGGAGUACCGGAGAGGGUGGCGGAAUUCCGGGUGUAGGAGUGAAAUCCGUAGAGAUCCGGAGGAACACCGGUGGCGAAGGCGGCCACCUGGACGGUUACUGACGCUGAGGUGCGAAAGCGUGGGGAGCAAA